CCUACGGGUGGCUGCAGUGGGGAAUAUUGGACAAUGGGCGAAAGCCUGAUCCAGCCAUGCCGCGUGUGUGAAGAAGGCCUUCGGGUUGUAAAGCACUUUCAGUGGGGAAGAAAGCCUUGGGGCUAAUACCCUCGAGGAAGGACAUCACCCACAGAAGAAGCACCGGCUAACUCCGUGCCAGCAGCCGCGGUAAUACGGAGGGUGCGAGCGUUAAUCGGAAUUACUGGGCGUAAAGCGCGCGUAGGCGGUCUGAUAAGCCGGUUGUGAAAGCCCCGGGCUCAACCUGGGAACGGCAUCCGGAACUGUCAGGCUAGAGUGCAGGAGAGGAAGGUAGAAUUCCCGGUGUAGCAGUGAAAUGCGUAGAGAUCGGGAGGAAUACCAGUGGCGAAGGCGGCCUUCUGGACUGACAUUGACGCUGAGGUGCGAAAGCGUGGGUAGCAAACAGGAUUAGAUACCCCAGUAGUC
RNAcentral lists this ribosomal RNA (465 nucleotides) under Vreelandella stevensii. RNAcentral's name for it is "partial 16S ribosomal RNA". It matches the Rfam family "Bacterial small subunit ribosomal RNA", at positions 338 to 795 of the family's 1533-position model. Lineage: Bacteria; Pseudomonadati; Pseudomonadota; Gammaproteobacteria; Oceanospirillales; Halomonadaceae. The record is from RNAcentral.